GAUGAACGCUAGCGGCAGGCCUAAUACAUGCAAGUCGAGCGGCAAGUCGAGGAGUAAUCUGAGACCUAGAGCGGCGCACGGGUGCGUAACGCGUAUGCAACCUACCUUAUACUGGGGGAUAGCCCGGAGAAAUCUGGAUUAAUACCCCAUGGCACAUAUUGAGGGCAUCUGAGAUAUGUUAAAGAUUUAUUGGUAUAAGAUGGGCAUGCGUCUGAUUAGCUAGUUGGCGGUGUAACGGACCACCAAGGCGACGAUCAGUAGGGGUUCUGAGAGGAAGGUCCCCCACACUGGCACUGAGAUACGGGCCAGACUCCUACGGGAGGCAGCAGUAGGGAAUAUUGGGCAAUGGUCGGAAGACUGACCCAGCCAUGCCGCGUGCAGGAAGAAGGCCCUCUGGGUUGUAAACUGCUUUUAUCUGGGAAGAAAAAGGCCAUGCGUGGCAAAUUGCCGGUACCAGAUGAAUAAGCACCGGCUAACUCCGUGCCAGCAGCCGCGGUAAUACGGAGGGUGCAAGCGUUGUCCGGAUUUAUUGGGUUUAAAGGGUGCGUAGGCGGCUGAUUAAGUCAGCGGUGAAAGACUUCGGCUUAACCGGAGCAGUGCCGUUGAUACUGAUUGGCUUGAGUGUUGGAGGGGUACAUGGAAUUGAUGGUGUAGCGGUGAAAUGCAUAGAUACCAUCAGGAACACCGAUAGCGAAGGCAUUGUACUGGCCAACAACUGACGCUGAGGCACGAAAGUGUGGGGAUCGAA
RNAcentral lists this ribosomal RNA (748 nucleotides) under uncultured bacterium. RNAcentral describes it as "bacterial SSU rRNA". It matches the Rfam family "Bacterial small subunit ribosomal RNA", at positions 28 to 772 of the family's 1533-position model. The record is from RNAcentral.